UUAAAUUAUUAUUAUUUAAUAUUUGUCAUUAAUCCUGAAGUUUAUGUUUGAAAUAGUGUUUAACUGUGGCAGCAGUGAUUCCUGGUCACAGACAGAAGGUGGAUGUUUUCAGCAGUACAGGCCUGCCUGAUGGGGAAGGUGGUUUCCAGACAGCAGGAUGCCUGCAGUAACACAGGAAGUGCUACAGCUGUGUUCAUCUGGAAGAACAUCAAAGUAACUUGUGACAGUGAACUUGGGUUGGAGAUCUCUCUCCAAGUUUCUUGAAAACAGCUGCAAACAUUGGACGGGACGGCAGGAUGAAAUUGCCAAGGCUGCGUUUUGGAGCGUGCACAUAGAGGGGCUUUGGAUGAAGCAGGCCUUUGUUGCUCAGUACAUGAUUGCUGGUGAGUUUGUUUGCUUCUGGAAGCCUCUGUCUGCUGCUGGCUGGGGCAGCCUGUAAGCACUUCUGCAAACCUCUAUCUGAAACCUUAGGUAGGGUCGCAAGCUUUGUUAACAUUACCCGACUGCUCCCCCUUGUGCUGGCAACUGAGGGUUCUGUCUACACGCCUUCGUGUUCGUGGGCUUUGUCUGGAAGUGUAUCCUUUUGCACUUCUUUUGAAGUUUUCACUGCGGGUUCACUGAAGCGCUUUACUUUCAGCCUUGUUGCAUUCAGCAGUUUCACGUGGAGGGAAUGGUGACCAUCCAGUUUCUGGUGACUGUGUUAUGUCUUCAUGUGUUUGAAUAGGAUAAAUGGGUAUUACACUGAAACCCGUACACUCAAUCCCUAAGUGGCUUUAUGAAAACAAACAGUUUUUUAUUUAAACCAGCAGCAUUUUAUCUAUGUAAACAGCUUUCAAACAUAAACACUUACCCACAUAAAUUUUUAUGAUGUUUGGUUAUGUUCCUGCAAUGCUGUCAUCGAUGCGUAUUUCUUCGUUGGGAGAAUGACGUUCACAGAAUUGGCACUUUGUGAUUAAAAGUAAUAACAUUUGCUGCCAGUUUGGUCGUUGGCCAGCAGUGAUGUUUUUGGGGAGCGCCUCCAUUCCUGAAGUCAGAUGAUUUUACAGAAAAUACAGAUGAGGAGAGGUGUAAACCUAAAUAGCAAAGCUUGCGAUGCUUUGGAAGGAAGGAAUCUGGAAAUGUUUCUGGAAAUGUAGGAGCUUUUAAGAUUACAUGCCUUAUCAAAUACUUGUCAAAUGAUAAUUAGUUAAAACCAAGCGUAAAUUGCGGAUGCAAUCGGCUUCAUCUUCUCAGAACGUUCUUUAGUUAAGACUGCAGUUGCACC
Molecule: long non-coding RNA, 1264 nt
Filed under: Phasianus colchicus (ring-necked pheasant)
Lineage: Eukaryota; Metazoa; Chordata; Aves; Galliformes; Phasianidae
Description: lncRNA (ENSPCLG00000017848.1)
Source: RNAcentral